Transfer RNA from Hebeloma cylindrosporum, 83 nucleotides. It matches the Rfam family "tRNA". From Rfam's summary of the family: Transfer RNA (tRNA) molecules are approximately 80 nucleotides in length. Their secondary structure includes four short double-helical elements and three loops (D, anti-codon, and T loops). The record is from Rfam. NCBI's taxonomy places the organism in Eukaryota, Fungi, Basidiomycota, Agaricomycetes, Agaricales, Hymenogastraceae.
GGGCUCUUAGCACAGGGGUUAGCGCGCAUGCUUUGCAUUAAAGCGUCUGCAUGAGGUCGUGGGUUCAAAUCCCACAGAGUCCA